Non-coding RNA from Triticum aestivum (bread wheat), 135 nucleotides. Lineage: Eukaryota; Viridiplantae; Streptophyta; Magnoliopsida; Poales; Poaceae. The record is from Rfam.
GUGGUACUCCCUCCGUCCGAAAAUACUUGUCAUCAAAAUGGAUAAAAAAAUAUAUAUCUAGAACUAAAAUACGUCUAGAUACAUCCCCUUUUAUCUAUUUUGAUGGCAAGUAUUUCCAGACGGAGAGAGUAUAAU